Long non-coding RNA from Cephus cinctus (wheat stem sawfly), 2365 nucleotides. RefSeq lists it as uncharacterized. The record is from RefSeq and is a predicted model, not a curated record. Lineage: Eukaryota; Metazoa; Arthropoda; Insecta; Hymenoptera; Cephidae. The transcript has 2 exons.
GAGAGAGAGAGAGAGAGAGAGAGAGAGAGAGGGAGGGAAGGGAAGAUUAAAAAAAAGGAUCCUUCAUCAAACCCGAAUGCAGUAGGGUCGGAGGAAUAAAUAAAAGAAAAGGAAGUGAGUGGUGGAAGCAUCUACGGGACGGAGUGAAGGAGAAAGGAGGAAAGAAAAAGUGAGAGAGCAGGGGGUAGAUAACCGAAGGAGAAUGAAAAAGAAACAUAAAAGUAUCGAGAGAGAGAGAGAGAGAGAGAGAGAGUGAGAGAGAGGGAGGGAUAGGAGCAAUGGCAGAGUGAGAGAGAGAGGGGAAGGUAUUAGAGUGACGACCUUGUGAAGAACCUUGCAAGGCCGAGAAGACUGUUAGCUACCUUUGGAUUGAAGCCGCCAGCGUCUCGGGCUGCUGCACCAAUGGCUGUACCGGAUCUCAUUCGAGAUGCGAUACGGAGAAAGUUCAUCACGUAUUAUUUUCCGUCAAUUCGCUUGAUACGUCACGUGUACGAUAUAUCUGGGAUAUCGGAUGGACGUACGUAAAAAAAAAAACGGCCGUUUUUUGUUGAAAUGCAGAAAAGUGCACGGAGACUAAGUGCAGGGUGCAGCGGUGAAUUUAUACGCGUGAAUUGCAGGAGGGAAUGAAGAUGGUGGCUGUGGAGCUGUGUAAAAAAAAUCUCGAUAGCUGAAUUUACUGGCAGGAGAGCCGUGCGUACCGGUUCCUUUUUGUCGGAGUAACGUUUAUCGGCGUCUUCUACGUGGGCAGAGUCGGGCUGCAUAAAUUGCACUGACUAAAGUCUCCCCGAUCGCUCGAUAAGAGAGGAGGACGAGCAAACGAAUAAAUCGUCCCGGCUUCUAGCGGCGUUGAGCGGCGCGACGCUUCGAGCGCUAGAUCGGUAUCCAAUGCAGUCUGGAAUUCUCGAAAGGUCUCAAGAAGAGAAGAGGAGAGGAGAGGGAGGACUGAAGAGGAAUCAAAGAAAAUAGUGAAGGGAGAAAAAAUUAAGUUUUGCUUCUCUUUAGAAUCGCACCCUGUAUAUGUAUAAGACCGUAUCGGCAAUCCUGAUCGGCGUCGUUUUGUUAUCGCACGGUGACGUAGACAAGGCCGUUGGACGUCCUCUGACAAUAAUCCCGGCUGAUUAAACCGAUCGGUACCCUGUUCAGACAGAAAAAAUAUAUAUAUUUGUGAAAUUCAAUAGCAUUCGAGCUGCUCCUUAUUGGAUGCUGGAUGCGUCUUUGACUGCCCGGAUGCUUCAGCAGAGGAGAAGACAAGUCUCGGGAGCAUGGGAGAACAGAAGUAAGAGAACGUCCUUGCAAGGCCACAACGACGACGUCGGACUACGGUGCUGUAGGAAUGGGCGGCAACGCCCGAGAGAGAGAGAGAGAGAGAGAGAGAGGGAGUGAGGUAGCGAGUCUCUCCUCUGCUCAGCAAUCCUCUCUCACUCCCUCCCUAGCACCAUAGCAACGUAGCUGAGCAGCCUAGCAUCUCGCGUGAUCCUAGAGGCCUGUCAUCUCAGCAAUACCCUAUCCGGAUAUUGACAGAGAAUACCACAUUCCAAGCAUGGAAGAGCGAAAGAAUUGAAUUGGCAGAUAAGCGCGACAAUUGAAAGAGCGUUCAGUUUUUCAUAGAAUUGUCUAUCAGAUUAUUAAAAAAAAAUAAUAAUUAAGAGAAUCUUAAUAAGAGUUAUUGGAUAAAUUAAAAUAUUAUAAUAAAUUACAAGAUAAAAAUUAUCUUGAUUUACUGUCAAAAUCAGCCGCAUUCAGACGGCUGUAAAUGUGCAACGUGAACAUAACUAUAUUUACACCGUAGAAAAGAUCUGUAUGAUAUUGCUCAAUGAAAUGGCGGUAAGAAAAGUGGCAAAGAAAAAUUGUAGCCGAGCCCGGAUAAGUGGGUGCAAUAAAUGCACAACGCAAUGCAAUGCAGUAAACGGCAAACGGCCCACUUGGUAAAGUCCUAUCUCUGUGCAAGUCGCCAUUUCGAUUUUGCACGUGUGGGCAGCCGGGCUCAAUCAACCAAGCUGCCUUUCCUUGCAUUUAAUGCAUUUCUCGACUCACUUGCAAGUUACCUGUACGUCCUGCUACGUCCUGCUACUACCUGCUCUGUCUUGCCCUGUCUUGCCCUGUCUACCGUGUUUAUCAUGUCUGCCUUAGUAUGCCUUAUAGCUGCCUACAUCCCGCUACUUCACGCUAUUCAAAUCCUACCCGUGUUAUAAAUAGACAAACUGGUAUUUAACGCGAAGGAUUAAUAUUUCAUGGGUUUGCCAAGAAUCGAGCUGCACCCUGACUCCUUCGUGCACCUUUGUCAGAGAGUGGAUUUCCUUGCGGCGUCCUUAUGUCAUUUUUCACGUACGGCUGCGUCUUUUUAUUUGAAAGAAAAAAAAAAAAA